RNAcentral lists this ribosomal RNA (253 nucleotides) under uncultured bacterium. Its description in RNAcentral is "partial 16S ribosomal RNA". It matches the Rfam family "Bacterial small subunit ribosomal RNA", at positions 524 to 776 of the family's 1533-position model. The record is from RNAcentral.
UACAGAGACUGCAAGCGUUACUCGGAUUCACUGGGCGUAAAGGGAGCGCAGGCGGACCGGUGUGUCAGAUGUGAAACCCCAGGGCUCAACCUUGGGACUGCGUCUGAAACUGCCGGUCUAGGGACUCGGAGGGGCUAGUGGAAUUCCUGGUGGAGCAGUGAAAUGCGUAGAUAUCAGGAGGAACACCGACGGCGAAGGCAGCUAGCUGGACGAGAUCCGACGCUCAGGCUCGAAAGUAUGGGGAGCAAAAAGG